RNAcentral lists this long non-coding RNA (1152 nucleotides) under Homo sapiens (human). RNAcentral describes it as "non-protein coding lnc-MST1-3:1". The record is from RNAcentral. Lineage: Eukaryota; Metazoa; Chordata; Mammalia; Primates; Hominidae.
CACUGCAGUCAGCACUCCGCCGUGCCCGGCGUCGCCGACUCAAGAGGAUAUCCUCCAGCUCCUCAUCAGAGUCAAAGGCCUCAGGCGUGAUGGACAAGGAGUGGGGCCGCUGCUUCUGCUCCUCGCCAGUACCGCUGGAGAGUGGCUUGCUCCGCUCACUUGGGGCCAGGCCCUGGGCCUGCAGCAAAGGCCGCAUGCUGCUCCCCACCUUGUGGAUCUCGGAGGGGCUGGGUGGAUGUGGCCCUGUCACCCCUGCACUGUCCAGCUGUUCCACCUCCUGCUGCACGACUCCUGUGAUCUCACUCUGGGAGCUAGAGAUGCCGUCAGAGGAAUAGCCUGUGUCACUGAGGCUCUGUGGGCUCCGAGACGCAUCCUGAGAGUAAGGCUUGCCCACCAGGUCCUGCAGCAGGGUGAAAAGCAGACACUGACUCCCCAUGGCAAAGCUCGUGGUGGGAACCCAAUCCUCCCUGUCAAUCCCAGGACCCUGGGGAAGAGUCUGUCCAUUUCCCAAGGGUUUAGGGCCCGCCACCCACCCUAUCUCCUUCUGGCCUUGAAUAACCUGAAGGUUCCAUGGCAAGCCCAAACCAGCCCUUGGUCUUCAAAGAGAAACUUUACUAGAUCAAAGGGUAUCAAAACCCAGCAAAGCAUCUGACAAGGUGCCAGACACAGCACCAGUGUAAAACCCACAGUCUCCAAGCGUGCCAGAACCUCAUCUAGACUUUCCUUCUACUGUGUCCCUUCCCUCCUGUGUGGCCCCAAGGCACCUGUCCUGAGCCUACAGCCUCAGCCACCCAGGGAGGCAAGCCUUUCCAUAGACUGUCCUGUCUGAAAGCUAGGGUCUCUGGGAAGUGAAUGGGACUGACCUCCGCCUCCCCACCCUUGGGGGCUUCUGGAACAGCCUUGACGACAGGGGUGGCAGGUUCAGCCCUCCUCACCCCACUCUUUACUUUAGGAGUCGCAGGGGUUGGGGUAGUCUCUGGAGGUGGCUUCGGCAUGGGCUCAGCUUUAGUGGGGACUCGGGUCUUCUUUUCCUGGACACUGCUUGGGGUCUUGCUGGGUUCAGAAGCCCUGAGGGGCUUGGCCUGGGGGCUGGCCUUGCUGGGCAGAGGGCUGGCCUUGGUGGAUAGAGGGCUGGCCUUGGCAGGCAGGGGG